RNAcentral lists this ribosomal RNA (1372 nucleotides) under uncultured bacterium. RNAcentral describes it as "bacterial SSU rRNA". It matches the Rfam family "Bacterial small subunit ribosomal RNA", at positions 28 to 1381 of the family's 1533-position model. The record is from RNAcentral.
GAUGAACGCUGGCGGCGUGCCUAAUACACGCAAGUCGAGCGAACGGACGAGAAGCUUGCUUCUCUGAUGUUAGCGGCGGACGGGUGAGUAACACGUGGAUAACCUACCUAUAAGACUGGGAUAACUUCGGGAAACCGGAGCUAAUACCGGAUAAUAUUUUGAACCGCAUGGUUCAAAAGUGAAAGACGGUCUUGCUGUCACUUAUAGAUGGAUCCGCGCUGCAUUAGCUAGUUGGUAAGGUAACGGCUUACCAAGGCAACGAUGCAUAGCCGACCUGAGAGGGUGAUCGGCCACACUGGAACUGAGACACGGUCCAGACUCCUACGGGAGGCAGCAGUAGGGAAUCUUCCGCAAUGGGCGAAAGCCUGACGGAGCAACGCCGCGUGAGUGAUGAAGGUCUUCGGAUCGUAAAACUCUGUUAUUAGGGAAGAACAUAUGUGUAAGUAACUGUGCACAUCUUGACGGUACCUAAUCAGAAAGCCACGGCUAACUACGUGCCAGCAGCCGCGGUAAUACGUAGGUGGCAAGCGUUAUCCGGAAUUAUUGGGCGUAAAGCGCGCGUAGGCGGUUUUUUAAGUCUGAUGUGAAAGCCCACGGCUCAACCGUGGAGGGUCAUUGGAAACUGGAAAACUUGAGUGCAGAAGAGGAAAGUGGAAUUCCAUGUGUAGCGGUGAAAUGCGCAGAGAUAUGGAGGAACACCAGUGGCGAAGGCGACUUUCUGGUCUGUAACUGACGCUGAUGUGCGAAAGCGUGGGGAUCAAACAGGAUUAGAUACCCUGGUAGUCCACGCCGUAAACGAUGAGUGCUAAGUGUUAGGGGGUUUCCGCCCCUUAGUGCUGCAGCUAACGCAUUAAGCACUCCGCCUGGGGAGUACGACCGCAAGGUUGAAACUCAAAGGAAUUGACGGGGACCCGCACAAGCGGUGGAGCAUGUGGUUUAAUUCGAAGCAACGCGAAGAACCUUACCAAAUCUUGACAUCCUUUGACAACUCUAGAGAUAGAGCUUUCCCCUUCGGGGGACAAAGUGACAGGUGGUGCAUGGUUGUCGUCAGCUCGUGUCGUGAGAUGUUGGGUUAAGUCCCGCAACGAGCGCAACCCUUAAGCUUAGUUGCCAUCAUUAAGUUGGGCACUCUAAGUUGACUGCCGGUGACAAACCGGAGGAAGGUGGGGAUGACGUCAAAUCAUCAUGCCCCUUAUGAUUUGGGCUACACACGUGCUACAAUGGACAAUACAAAGGGCAGCGAAACCGCGAGGUCAAGCAAAUCCCAUAAAGUUGUUCUCAGUUCGGAUUGUAGUCUGCAACUCGACUACAUGAAGCUGGAAUCGCUAGUAAUCGUAGAUCAGCAUGCUACGGUGAAUACGUUCCCGGGUCU